This 253-nucleotide ribosomal RNA is filed under the name uncultured bacterium. Its description in RNAcentral is "partial 16S ribosomal RNA". It matches the Rfam family "Bacterial small subunit ribosomal RNA", at positions 524 to 776 of the family's 1533-position model. The record is from RNAcentral.
UACGAAGGGGGCUAGCGUUGCUCGGAUUGACUGGGCGUAAAGGGCGCGUAGGCGGUUCGUACAGUCAGACGUGAAAUUCCUGGGCUCAACCUGGGAGCUGCGUUUGAUACGUGCGGACUUGAGUGCGGAAGAGGGUCGUGGAAUUCCCAGUGUAGAGGUGAAAUUCGUAGAUAUUGGGAAGAACACCGGCGGCGAAGGCGGCGAACUGGUCCGAUACUGACGCUGAGGCGCGAAAGCGUGGGGAGCAAACAGG